GACAAUUAAUGAUUUUCUUGCUUAUGGCAUGCUGUCGGGAUGGAGUACAACAUGUAAAUUAGCUUGCCCAAUUUGUAUGGAUGAAACAAAAACUUUCAGUUUGAAAAAUGGAAGAAAAGUUUCUUGGUUUGAUUGUAACCGGCAAUUCUUGCCUCUCAAUCAUGAAUUUAGAAGAAACAAGAAUGCUUUUUAUAAAGGAAGAGAGGAAAAGUCUAGACCUCCUCCCAGGUUAACUGGAGAACAAGUGUGGGAAAAAAUUAAAGGAUUUCCUAAGAUUACUGAAUUUGGUCCGCGCAACUUUUACGGUUAUGGAAAAUCACAUAAUUGGACCAAAAGAAGUAUUUUUUGGGAUCUGCCAUAUUGGAAGACCAAUCUAGUUCGCCACAAUCUUGAUGUAAUGCAUAUAGAAAAGAAUGUCUUUGACAAUAUUUUCCAUACAGUCAUGGAUAACAGUGAGAGAACAAAGGAUAAUGAGAAGGCAAGAAUGGACUUGAAAGAAUAUUGUCGUCGAAGUGAUUUACACUUGCAACAGAAUGUUGAUGGGAGAUGGAUUAAACCGAAAGCAAAGUUUACCUUAAAUGACGACCAAAAUAAAGAUGUAUGUGAAUGGGUUCAUGAGCUAAAAAUGCUGAUGGAUAUGCUUCUAAUUUGGGUAAAUGUGUUGAUAAGAAACAUUUAAAGUUAUUUGAAAUGAAAAGUCAUGACUGCCACAUUUUUAUGCAAUGUCUUAUUCCAGUAGCUUUUGGUGCACUUCCAAAACCAAUCUGGAAGCCACUAACUGAACUCAAUUUAUUCUUUAAAGACUUGUGCUCAACAGUAUUGCGGGAGGAUCAUUUAAGGCAAAUGGAAGAAAACAUUCCAUUAAUCUUGUGUAAAUUGCAACGAAUAUUUCCACCCGGUCUUUUUUAUUCAAUGGAGCACUUAAUGAUUCAUUUGCCUUAUGAAGCAAGGGUUUGUGGUCCUGUUCAAUACCGAUGGAUGUAUCCAUUUGAAAGGUUCCUAAACAAAAUAAAGAAGACUAUAAAAUACAAAUCUAGAGUUGAAUGAUCUAUUUGCCAAGCAUACUUGGCUCAAGAAAUCUCAUACUUUGCUUCCCAUUAUUUUGAAUCUCAUGUCCUAUCUAGCAAUAAUAGAGUUGAUCGCAAUGAUGAUUUAAUCACAAAAAAUGCUACUCAACCAACUCUAUCAGUCUUUAAUCUUUCUGGACGAAGUUAUGGAAAGAAAAAGGGCAAUAUUUAGUGGCUAGAUGAUAAAGAAGUUGCAGCAGCACAAUUGCAUGUUCUUAUUAAUUGUGAUGAGGUUAAGCCUUUUCUCAAUUUGUAUGAAAAAGCCUUGAGAUAUACUUACAAUGAUCUUACCGAUGAUAUCAUUGAUAAGCAAAUUGAAGCUGACUUUCCACGAUGGUUCAAGGAAUAUGUGAAUAGUAAUCCAUAAGAGAUCUGACAAGAUUCUUAUUUGCGAAUUUUAGCAAUGAGACCAUUGAGACAGGCACGGUCUUGGCCUGGUUAUUUCAUGAAUGGAUACAAAUUUCACACUGCUUCUUGGGGUGAAGGAAAAAGUACAUAUAACAGUGGGGUGUGUGUCAGUGGCACUGGACAAGAUGGUAGCAUAAGUGAAUACUAUGGUGUUCUUAAGGAAAUUAUCGAAUUAGAAUGGCCAAUGGCACCAUUUAUGAAGUUAGUUUUAUUUUACUGUGAUUGGUUUGAUACCUCUAAACACGGCAUGAAAGUUGAUAUCCAUUUUGGUAUUGUUGAAGUUCGAAAAAGGGGAAGAUAUUCUAAAUUUGACCCUUUCAUCUUUCCCCAAACAACAACUCAAGUUUAUUAUGCAAGUCAUCCUGAAAACAAAGGAGAUACAGCUGAUUGGUGGGUAGUUAUAAAGACAAAGCCAAGAGGAGUUGUGGACAAAAGAUAUAAUAUGGAAGUUUAUUACCAAGAGGAGCAAUCACAUGUUAGUGCAAGUAUAGAGGAUAAUCUAAUUGAUUGCUUAUGAGAUGACCAAGUUGUAGGUGAAGAGAUACAUGGAAGUAAUUUUCAACCAGUUGUCAGUGAAAAUGAAGCUGAAGAUGAGGAGACAACAAGUGAAGAAGAGGAAGAUGAGGAAGGGGAAACAAGUGAAGAGGAAGAAUUUUUUGAUAGUGAUGAUUCACAAGAUCACUUUCAAACCCAAGAACAGGAUACAUAGGAUGAUUGAGAAUAUUAGUUUGUCUAUUUGUUUGUUUACU
Solanum tuberosum (potato) is the source of this 2224-nucleotide long non-coding RNA. RefSeq lists it as uncharacterized. The record is from RefSeq and is a predicted model, not a curated record. The transcript is spliced from 4 exons. Lineage: Eukaryota; Viridiplantae; Streptophyta; Magnoliopsida; Solanales; Solanaceae.